RNAcentral lists this ribosomal RNA (385 nucleotides) under uncultured bacterium. RNAcentral describes it as "bacterial SSU rRNA". It matches the Rfam family "Bacterial small subunit ribosomal RNA", at positions 30 to 414 of the family's 1533-position model. The record is from RNAcentral.
AUUGAACGCUGGCGGCAUGCUUUACACAUGCAAGUCGAACGGCAGCGCGGGGGGCAACCCUGGCGGCGAGUGGCGAACGGGUGAGUAAUACAUCGGAACGUACCCAGAAGUGGGGGAUAACGUAGCGAAAGUUACGCUAAUACCGCAUACGUUCUACGGAAGAAAGUGGGGGAUCGCAAGACCUCAUGCUUUUGGAGCGGCCGAUGUCUGAUUAGCUAGUUGGUGAGGUAAAGGCUCACCAAGGCGACGAUCAGUAGCUGGUCUGAGAGGACGACCAGCCACACUGGAACUGAGACACGGUCCAGACUCCUACGGGAGGCAGCAGUGGGGAAUUUUGGACAAUGGGGGCAACCCUGAUCCAGCAAUGCCGCGUGAGUGAAGAAGG